This 120-nucleotide ribosomal RNA is filed under the name Microcebus murinus (gray mouse lemur). Lineage: Eukaryota; Metazoa; Chordata; Mammalia; Primates; Cheirogaleidae. The record is from RNAcentral.
GUCUAUGACCAUACAACCCUGAACCCACCCAAUCUCUUCUGAUCUCCGAAGCCAAGAAAGGUUGGGCCUGGCUAGUACUUGGAUGGGAGAAAAAUGCCUGGGAAAGCUUCACCAGAGAGU